AACGAUCUGAUCAGCAGGGAAUUUUAACGGCCAUACCUUUAAGCCGUCAGGAGUCAACUCCCAGCUCACAAGAUGUGUCUACCAUACGCAUAAGAAUGCCAACUGGAGAUCCUGCAUUCAUGUACAGGCAUGAGGAAAAUCCAAGACUAAGUCCAAGCGAGCUGGAAGAGUUAGCCAAAAACGAGGAAGCUUGCAGAAAAAGAAGGGCUGAGGAGUAUGCCAACCCAC
RNAcentral lists this long non-coding RNA (228 nucleotides) under Panax ginseng (ginseng). RNAcentral describes it as "long non-coding RNA (PGIN_LNC014871)". Lineage: Eukaryota; Viridiplantae; Streptophyta; Magnoliopsida; Apiales; Araliaceae. The record is from RNAcentral.